RNAcentral lists this ribosomal RNA (200 nucleotides) under uncultured eukaryote. RNAcentral describes it as "partial 18S ribosomal RNA". The record is from RNAcentral.
CGUCCGAUAGCACCGAGAUCCGAAGCAUGUCCAUCAAUCUGCCUGAUCGCCACCGACAUCGACGAAUACCUCACUCAGCACGAGCGGAAGGAGCUCUUGCGGUUCAUCACCUGCGGGAGCGUCGACGACGGCAAGAGCACGCUGAUCGGCCGGCUCUUCUACGAGUCGAAGAUGAUCUACGAGGAUCAGCUCGCCGCGAU